AAGUGCUUCGGCACUUAGUGGCGGACGGGCGAGUAACGCGUGAGAAUCUGCCUUAAGGACUGGGAAAACAGCUGGAAACGGCUGCUAAUACCGGAUAUGCCAAAAAGUGAAAAGGGUAAAACCGCCUUUUGAUGAGCUCGCGUCCGAUUAGCUAGUUGGCGGGGUAAAAGCUUACCAAGGCAUCGAUCGGUAACUGGUCUGAGAGGAUGACCAGUCACACUGGGACUGAGACACGGCCCAGACUCCUACGGGAGGCAGCAGUGGGGAAUUUUCCGCAAUGGGCGAAAGCCUGACGGAGCAAUACCGCGUGAGGGAGGAAGGCUCUUGGGUUGUAAACCUCUUUUCUCAGGGAAGAACACAAUGACGGUACCUGAGGAAUCAGCAUCGGCUAACUCCGUGCCAGCAGCCGCGGUAAUACGGAGGAUGCAAGCGUUAUCCGGAAUGAUUGGGCGUAAAGCGUCCGCAGGUGGCUUAUCAAGUCUGCUGUCAAAGCUCCUGGCUCAACUGGGAAUCGGCGGUGGAAACUGAAAGGCUAGAGUGCGGUAGGGGCAGAGGGAAUUCCCAGUGUAGCGGUGAAAUGCGUAGAGAUUGGGAAGAACACCAGUGGCGAAAGCGCUCUGCUAGACCGCAACUGACACUCAUGGACGAAAGCUAGGGGAGCGAAUGGGAUUAGAUACCCCAGUAGUCCUAGC
Molecule: ribosomal RNA, 692 nt
Filed under: uncultured cyanobacterium
Lineage: Bacteria; Bacillati; Cyanobacteriota
Description: bacterial SSU rRNA
Rfam family: Bacterial small subunit ribosomal RNA
Source: RNAcentral